GAUGAACGCUGGCGGCGUGCCUAAUACAUGCAAGUCGAGCGAACGGACGAGAAGCUUGCUUCUCUGAUGUUAGCGGCGGACGGGUGAGUAACAGGUGGGUAACCUGCCUAUAAGAAUGGGAUAACUUCGGGAAACCGGAGAUAAUACCGGAUAAUAUUUUGAACCGCAUGGUUCAAAAGUGAAAGACGGUCUUGCUGUCACUUAUAGAUGGAUCCGCGCUGCAUUAGCUAGUUGGUAAGGUAACGGCUUACCAAGGCAACGAUGCAUAGCCGACCUGAGAGGAUGAUCGGCCACACUGGAACUGAGACACGGUCCAGACUCCUACGGGAGGCAGCAGUAGGGAAUCUUCCGCAAUGGGCGAAAGCCUGACGCAGCAACGCCGCGUGAGUGAUGAAGGUCUUCGGAUCGUAAACCUCUGUUAUUAGGGAAGAACACAUCUGUAAGUAACUGUGCACAUCUUGACGGUACCUAAUCAGAAAGCCACGGCUAACUACGUG
This 497-nucleotide ribosomal RNA is filed under the name uncultured bacterium. Its description in RNAcentral is "partial 16S ribosomal RNA". It matches the Rfam family "Bacterial small subunit ribosomal RNA", at positions 28 to 507 of the family's 1533-position model. The record is from RNAcentral.